CAAUCAAACCGGGAGAUAGCUGGUUCUCCCCGAAAGCUAUUUAGGUAGCGCCUCGUGAAUUCAUCUCCGGGGGUAGAGCACUGUUUCGGCUAGGGGGCCAUCCCGGCUUACCAACCCGAUGCAAACUGCGAAUACCGGAGAAUGUUAUCACGGGAGACACACGGCGGGUGCUAACGUCCGUCGUGAAGAGGGAAACAACCCAGACCGCCAGCUAAGGUCCCAAAGUCAUGGUUAAGUGGGAAACGAUGUGGGAAGGCCCAGACAGCCAGGAUGUUGGCUUAGAAGCAGCCAUCAUUUAAAGAAAGCGUAAUAGCUCACUGGUCGAGUCGGCCUGCGCGGAAGAUGUAACGGGGCUAAACCAUGCACCGAAGCUGCGGCAGCGAACGUAUCACCCAAGACAACUUUACGGAGUUGACGAUUGACGGAGCGAAGCGACGUCAAAGCGUUCAUUAAAGUCGAGUUGGCUUAGGGAUACGUUCGUUGGGUAGGGGAGCGUUCUGUAAGCCUGUGAAGGUGUGUCGUGAGGCAUGCUGGAGGUAUCAGAAGUGCGAAUGCUGACAUAAGUAACGAUAAAGCGGGUGAAAAGCCCGCUCGCCGGAAGACCAAGGGUUCCUGUCCAACGUUAAUCGGGGCAGGGUGAGUCGACCCCUAAGGCGAGGCCGAAAGGCGUAGUCGAUGGGAAACGGGUUAAUAUUCCCGUACUUGGUGUUACUGCGAAGGGGGGACGGAGAAGGCUAUGUUGGCCGGGCGACGGUUGUCCCGGUUUAAGCGUGUAGGUGUGUGUUCCAGGUAAAUCCGGUUCACUUUAACACUGAGGCGUGAUGACGAGGCACUACGGUGCUGAAGCAACAAAUGCCCUGCUUCCAGGAAAAGCCUCUAAGCAUCAGGUAACAUCAAAUCGUACCCCA
Molecule: ribosomal RNA, 908 nt
Filed under: Salmonella enterica subsp. enterica serovar Typhimurium
Lineage: Bacteria; Pseudomonadati; Pseudomonadota; Gammaproteobacteria; Enterobacterales; Enterobacteriaceae
Description: partial 23S ribosomal RNA
Rfam family: Bacterial large subunit ribosomal RNA
Source: RNAcentral